This 769-nucleotide ribosomal RNA is filed under the name Alloalcanivorax venustensis. Its description in RNAcentral is "bacterial SSU rRNA". It matches the Rfam family "Bacterial small subunit ribosomal RNA", at positions 55 to 816 of the family's 1533-position model. Lineage: Bacteria; Pseudomonadati; Pseudomonadota; Gammaproteobacteria; Oceanospirillales; Alcanivoracaceae. The record is from RNAcentral.
AUGCAGUCGAGCGGAACGAUCCUAGCUUGCUAGGAGGCGUCGAGCGGCGGACGGGUGAGUAACGCGUGAGAAUCUACCCAUGAGUGGGGGACAACCCGGGGAAACUCGGGCUAAUACCGCAUACGCCCUACGGGGUAAAGCAGGGGACCUUCGGGCCUUGCGCUGAUGGAUGAGCUCGCGUCGGAUUAGCUUGUUGGUGAGGUAAAGGCUCACCAAGGCGACGAUCCGUAGCUGGUCUGAGAGGAUGAUCAGCCACACCGGGACUGAGACACGGCCCGGACUCCUACGGGAGGCAGCAGUGGGGAAUCUUGGACAAUGGGGGCAACCCUGAUCCAGCCAUGCCGCGUGUGUGAAGAAGGCCUUCGGGUUGUAAAGCACUUUCAGCAGGGAGGAAGGCUUACCCCUAAUACGGGUGAGUACUUGACGUUACCUGCAGAAGAAGCACCGGCUAAUUUCGUGCCAGCAGCCGCGGUAAUACGAAAGGUGCAAGCGUUAAUCGGAAUUACUGGGCGUAAAGCGCGCGUAGGCGGUGUGUUAAGUCGGAUGUGAAAGCCCAGGGCUCAACCUUGGAAUUGCAUCCGAUACUGGCACGCUAGAGUGCAGUAGAGGGAGGUGGAAUUUCCGGUGUAGCGGUGAAAUGCGUAGAGAUCGGAAGGAACACCAGUGGCGAAGGCGGCCUCCUGGACUGACACUGACGCUGAGGUGCGAAAGCGUGGGGGAGCAAACAGGAUUAGAUACCCUGGUAGUCCACGCUGUAAACGAUGUCUAC